UAUACUUCAGAACAGGCUUUGGGAAGCUUAUAAUCUGCUGUUUCUCCACCGGAGCAGGCUUCGGGGAGCUUACUGUCUGCUGUUUCUCCGCCGGAGCAGGCUUCGGGGAGCUUGCUGUCUGCUGUUUCUCCGCUGCAGGCUUCAGGGAGCUUGCUGUCUGCUCUUUCUUCACCAAAGCAGGCUUCAGGGAGCUUACUGCCUGCUCUUUCUCCACCGGAGCAGGCUUAGGGGAGCUUGCUGUCUGCUGGUUAUCCGCCGGAGCAGGN
This 266-nucleotide long non-coding RNA is filed under the name Triticum aestivum (bread wheat). RNAcentral describes it as "long non-coding RNA (TAES_LNC009892)". The record is from RNAcentral. Lineage: Eukaryota; Viridiplantae; Streptophyta; Magnoliopsida; Poales; Poaceae.